RNAcentral lists this long non-coding RNA (1004 nucleotides) under Struthio camelus australis. Its description in RNAcentral is "lncRNA (ENSSCUG00000015001.1)". The record is from RNAcentral. Lineage: Eukaryota; Metazoa; Chordata; Aves; Struthioniformes; Struthionidae.
CUGGUAUAAAUGAUGUUUGGAUUUGCACCAGUGGAGAACCUACUUCUGUAGCCAUCUCACUGCUGAGGAGUGGAUCAGAGGGUCAGAAGCCAAAAGAGCUGCCUGGGAAUCUGUCACCUGUAACUACUGGCAGCCCCUUCCUCUCCCAUUUUUUCCCUCAGGACCACAAUUUGCAUAUAUGCUUCCCCCAGCUCUCUCAACUGCCCCUCCAGCAAUGGGAUUUUGCCUGAUGGGAUGUGCAUCACCUUUCCUUGCAGAUGAUGAUCUCGCUUCACCCCUACUACCCUCACUGUGAGAGAGGAGGCACCAAUGUUCAAGGAAUCGUAAAAUGAGGCAGGCAGGAGCUGGCGAUGAAGGCUCCAGCCUGGGAAAAAUAAACCUGCUAGCCUGGCUAAAGCCAAACAGCACAUGGCCCAAUUAAUAGCCUCCCCACUGUUCCUUUGGGAGGGCCGGCAUUCUCGCCGCCUUUGUCUCGUUUCCUGCUUGCUUCCUCCAUGCCGCUUCCUUUGACUCGGCCCUGCGCAGCCAGGCAGAACGAGAUCCAGCAGCUCCAGUUGCCUCUGGCUGCCUUGAGACUCCUAAGAGAACAGGAGGAUGCAGACAAAUAAGAGUGUUUCUCACCCAGUUUGUUCACUCAAGCAAGCCAAGACCUUCCUAUGCAGUGUGCUCAACCCUUGUGAGACGGGCUUUGGCCAUUAUCAGCAUCCUUGUGCACUGGAGAGGAAGCAUGGAUAUUGGAAGUCACCCACUAAAGUUACCUAGGAGUUGAUUUAACUACAUCAAAAUGAAAAAGCUUAAGCCAAGUGUCUUCAGUGCAUCCUGCCCUCAUUUAGGUAGAUGAUUUUAAAUACUUUGGGCUUUUGUUAAGAAAAUUCCAUGUAAUUCUGCUUGUGAGGGGUAAAAUAAUUUGAAAGAGAUAGAUAGAAAAACAUAUUUUGAUCUAAUCUGCACUGGCGUGAACUUUAUUGGCUUCUGAUUUUUCAUUUAAACUGAUAAGCUUUUUC